RNAcentral lists this ribosomal RNA (497 nucleotides) under uncultured bacterium. Its description in RNAcentral is "partial 16S ribosomal RNA". It matches the Rfam family "Bacterial small subunit ribosomal RNA", at positions 28 to 507 of the family's 1533-position model. The record is from RNAcentral.
GAUGAACGCUGGCGGUGUGCCUAAUACAUGCAAGUCGAGCGGAAGGACGAGAAGAUUGUUCCCUUGAUGUUAGCGGGGGGCGGGUGAGUAAGGCGUACAUCACAUUCUUCUUUGUCUGGGGUGAUAACGGGAAACAGGUGAUACUAAUGCAUCAUACUUUGUACCGCUUGGUUCAAGAGUUCUUGACGCUUUUCCCGUUUCUAUUAGCCGGUUUCGUGUUGGAUUAGCUAGUUGGUAAGGUCACGGCAAACCAAGGCAACGAUGCGUAGCUGACCUGAGAGGAUGAUCGGCCACACUGGAACUGAGACACGGUCCAGACUCCUACGGGAGGCAGCAGUAGGGAAUCUUGCACAAUGGGCGAAAGCCUGACGGAGCAACACCGCGUGGGUGAAGAAGGUCUUCGGGUUGUAAAGCUCUUUUAUUAGGGAAGAACAGAUGUGGAUUAAACCGCGCAUGUCUUGACGGUACCUAACCAGAAAGCCACGGCUAACUACGUG